This 478-nucleotide ribosomal RNA is filed under the name uncultured bacterium. RNAcentral's name for it is "partial 16S ribosomal RNA". It matches the Rfam family "Bacterial small subunit ribosomal RNA", at positions 28 to 523 of the family's 1533-position model. The record is from RNAcentral.
GACGAACGCUGGCGGCGUGCUUAACACAUGCAAGUCGAACGGUAAGGCCCUUCGGGGUACACGAGUGGCGAACGGGUGAGUAACACGUGGGUGAUCUGCCCUGCACUUCGGGAUAAGCCUGGGAAACUGGGUCUAAUACCGGCUAGGACCAGUGCUUGCAUGGGUGGUGGUGGAAAGCUUUUGCGGUGUGGGAUGGGCCCGCGGCCUAUCAGCUUGUUGGUGGGGUGAUUGCCUACCAAGGCGACGACGGGUAGCCGGCCUGAGAGGGUGACCGGCCACACUGGGACUGAGAUACGGCCCAGACUCCUACGGGAGGCAGCAGUGGGGAAUAUUGCACAAUGGGCGCAAGCCUGAUGCAGCGACGCCGCGUGAGGGAUGACGGCCUUCGGGUUGUAAACCUCUUUCAGCACCGACGAAGCGCAAGUGACGGUAGGUGCAGAAGAAGGACCGGCCAACUACGUGCCAGCCGCCGCCGUAA